CAACGAGAGACUCGGUGAAAUCAUAGUACCGGUGAAGAUGCCGGUUACCCGCGACAGGACGGAAAGACCCCGUGGAGCUUUACUGUAGCCUGAUAUUGAAAUUCGGUACAGUUUGUACAGGAUAGGUAGGAGCCUUAGAAGCGUGAGCGCUAGCUUACGUGGAGGCAUUGGUGGGAUACUACCCUAAUUGUAUUGGAUUUCUAACCCGCAGCACUUAUCGUGCUGGGAGACAGUGUCAGGCGGGCAGUUUGACUGGGGCGGUCGCCUCCUAAAGAGUAACGGAGGCGCUCAAAGGUUCCCUCAGAAUGGUUGGAAAUCAUUCAUAGAGUGUAAAGGCAUAAGGGAGCUUGACUGCGAGACCUACAAGUCGAGCAGGGUCGAAAGACGGACUUAGUGAUCCGGUGGUUCCGCAUGGAAGGGCCAUCGCUCAACGGAUAAAAGCUACCCCGGGGAUAACAGGCUUAUCUCCCCCAAGAGUUCACAUCGACGGGGAGGUUUGGCACCUCGAUGUCGGCUCAUCGCAUCCUGGGGCUGUAGUCGGUCCCAAGGGUUGGGCUGUUCGCCCAUUAAAGCGGUACGCGAGCUGGGUUCAGAACGUCGUGAGACAGUUCGGUCCCUAUCCGUCGUGGGCGUAGGAAAUUUGAGAGGAGCUGUCCUUAGUACGAGAGGACCGG
RNAcentral lists this ribosomal RNA (674 nucleotides) under Staphylococcus pseudintermedius. RNAcentral describes it as "partial 23S ribosomal RNA". It matches the Rfam family "Bacterial large subunit ribosomal RNA", at positions 2022 to 2695 of the family's 2925-position model. Lineage: Bacteria; Bacillati; Bacillota; Bacilli; Caryophanales; Staphylococcaceae. The record is from RNAcentral.